GGCUGGUCUGAAGGUAGUGAGUUACCUCAAUUGAUUGUUCACACUGAGUUACAGGUUGAACUCCUUGUUCUAUUAUUUCCCCUUUUCUUACUACUGCAUUUGAUGAA
This is an unclassified non-coding RNA of Cebus imitator (Panamanian white-faced capuchin), 107 nucleotides long. It matches the Rfam family "Y RNA". Rfam says of the family: Y RNAs are components of the Ro ribonucleoprotein particle (Ro RNP), in association with Ro60 and La proteins. The Y RNAs and Ro60 and La proteins are well conserved, but the function of the Ro RNP is not known. The record is from Ensembl. NCBI's taxonomy places the organism in Eukaryota, Metazoa, Chordata, Mammalia, Primates, Cebidae.